CUGGGAUAACACCUGGAAACAGAUGCUAAUAACGGAUAACAACACUAGACGCAUGUCUAGAGUUUAAAAGAUGGUUCUGCUAUCACUAUUGGAUGGACCUGCGGUGCAUUAGCUAGUUGGUAAGGCAACGGCUUACCAAGGCAAUGAUGCAUAGCCGAGUUGAGAGACUGAUAGGCCACAUUGGGACUGAGACACGGCCCAAACUCCUACGGGAGGCAGCAGAC
RNAcentral lists this ribosomal RNA (224 nucleotides) under uncultured bacterium. RNAcentral's name for it is "partial 16S ribosomal RNA". It matches the Rfam family "Bacterial small subunit ribosomal RNA", at positions 138 to 354 of the family's 1533-position model. The record is from RNAcentral.